RNAcentral lists this ribosomal RNA (253 nucleotides) under uncultured bacterium. RNAcentral's name for it is "partial 16S ribosomal RNA". It matches the Rfam family "Bacterial small subunit ribosomal RNA", at positions 524 to 776 of the family's 1533-position model. The record is from RNAcentral.
UACGGGGGGGGCAAGCGUUGUUCGGAAUUACUGGGCGUAAAGGGCGUGUAGGCGGCCCGGCAAGUCAGUUGUGAAAUCCCCAGGCUCAACUUGGGAAUUGCAACUGAAACUGCCAGGCUGGAGUUCAGGAGAGGAGAGCGGAACUCCCAGUGUAGCGGUGAAAUGCGUAGAUAUUGGGAGGAACACCGGUGGCGAAGGCGGCUCUCUGGACUGAAACUGACGCUGAGGCGCGAAAGCUAGGGGAGCAAACGGG